GUUUCAUUGGCAGGCUACAAUAAUGGGGCCAAAUGACAGCCCCUAUCAGGGUGGAGUAUUUUUCUUGACAAUUCAUUUCCCAACAGAUUACCCCUUCAAACCGCCUAAGGUUGCAUUUACAACAAGAAUUUAUCACCCAAAUAUUAACAGUAAUGGCAGCAUUUGUCUUGAUAUUCUACGGUCACAGUGGUCUCCAGCACUAACUAUUUCAAAAGUACUUUUGUCCAUCUGUUCUCUGUUGUGUGAUCCCAAUCCAGAUGAUCCUUUAGUGCCUGAGAUUGCUCGGAUCUACAAAACAGAUAGAGAAAAAGUAAAGACAUUUCCACGUGGACACCUGAUCAUGUGCCUACCCUGACUG
This 358-nucleotide long non-coding RNA is filed under the name Mus musculus (house mouse). RNAcentral describes it as "predicted gene, 50371". Lineage: Eukaryota; Metazoa; Chordata; Mammalia; Rodentia; Muridae. The record is from RNAcentral.